This 434-nucleotide ribosomal RNA is filed under the name uncultured bacterium. RNAcentral describes it as "bacterial SSU rRNA". It matches the Rfam family "Bacterial small subunit ribosomal RNA", at positions 30 to 504 of the family's 1533-position model. The record is from RNAcentral.
UGAACGCUGGCGGUAUGCCUAACACAUGCAAGUCGUACGAGAGUUUUUAACUCUAGUGGCGGACGGGUGAGUAACACGUGAGAAUUUGCCUUUAGGAGGGGGAUAACAACUGGAAACGGUUGCUAAUACCCCAUAUGCUUUCGAGUGAAAUGGUUUUUCCGCCUAAAGAGAAGCUUGCGGCUGAUUAGCUUGUUGGUGAGGUAAAAGCUAACCAAGGCGACGAUCAGUAUCUGGUUUGAGAGGACGAUCAGACACACUGGAACUGAGACACGGUCCAGACUCCUACGGGAGGCAGCAGUGGGGAAUUUUCCGCAAUGGGCGAAAGCCUGACGGAGCAAUACCGCGUGAGGGAAGACGGCCUAUGGGUUGUAAACCUCUUUUCUCAGGGAGGAAUUCAAUGACGUGUACCUGAGGAAUAAGCAUCGGCUAACUCC